Molecule: ribosomal RNA, 1381 nt
Filed under: Staphylococcus aureus
Lineage: Bacteria; Bacillati; Bacillota; Bacilli; Caryophanales; Staphylococcaceae
Description: 16S ribosomal RNA
Rfam family: Bacterial small subunit ribosomal RNA
Source: RNAcentral
CAAAAGUGAAAGACGGUCUUGCUGUCACUUAUAGAUGGAUCCGCGCUGCAUUAGCUAGUUGGUAAGGUAACGGCUUACCAAGGCAACGAUGCAUAGCCGACCUGAGAGGGUGAUCGGCCACACUGGAACUGAGACACGGUCCAGACUCCUACGGGAGGCAGCAGUAGGGAAUCUUCCGCAAUGGGCGAAAGCCUGACGGAGCAACGCCGCGUGAGUGAUGAAGGUCUUCGGAUCGUAAAACUCUGUUAUUAGGGAAGAACAUAUGUGUAAGUAACUGUGCACAUCUUGACGGUACCUAAUCAGAAAGCCACGGCUAACUACGUGCCAGCAGCCGCGGUAAUACGUAGGUGGCAAGCGUUAUCCGGAAUUAUUGGGCGUAAAGCGCGCGUAGGCGGUUUUUUAAGUCUGAUGUGAAAGCCCACGGCUCAACCGUGGAGGGUCAUUGGAAACUGGAAAACUUGAGUGCAGAAGAGGAAAGUGGAAUUCCAUGUGUAGCGGUGAAAUGCGCAGAGAUAUGGAGGAACACCAGUGGCGAAGGCGACUUUCUGGUCUGUAACUGACGCUGAUGUGCGAAAGCGUGGGGAUCAAACAGGAUUAGAUACCCUGGUAGUCCACGCCGUAAACGAUGAGUGCUAAGUGUUAGGGGGUUUCCGCCCCUUAGUGCUGCAGCUAACGCAUUAAGCACUCCGCCUGGGGAGUACGACCGCAAGGUUGAAACUCAAAGGAAUUGACGGGGACCCGCACAAGCGGUGGAGCAUGUGGUUUAAUUCGAAGCAACGCGAAGAACCUUACCAAAUCUUGACAUCCUUUGACAACUCUAGAGAUAGAGCNNNNNNNNNNNNNNNNNNNNNNNNNNNNNNNNNNNUUCCCCUUCGGGGGACAAAGUGACAGGUGGUGCAUGGUUGUCGUCAGCUCGUGUCGUGAGAUGUUGGGUUAAGUCCCGCAACGAGCGCAACCCUUAAGCUUAGUUGCCAUCAUUAAGUUGGGCACUCUAAGUUGACUGCCGGUGACAAACCGGAGGAAGGUGGGGAUGACGUCAAAUCAUCAUGCCCCUUAUGAUUUGGGCUACACACGUGCUACAAUGGACAAUACAAAGGGCAGCGAAACCGCGAGGUCAAGCAAAUCCCAUAAAGUUGUUCUCAGUUCGGAUUGUAGUCUGCAACUCGACUACAUGAAGCUGGAAUCGCUAGUAAUCGUAGAUCAGCAUGCUACGGUGAAUACGUUCCCGGGUCUUGUACACACCGCCCGUCACACCACGAGAGUUUGUAACACCCGAAGCCGGUGGAGUAACCUUUUAGGAGCUAGCCGUCGAAGGUGGGACAAAUGAUUGGGGUGAAGUCGUAACAAGGUAGCCGUAUCGGAAGGUGCGGCUGGAUCACCU